GAAAAUCUAGAAGAAACCAUUGAUAAAACCUGUUAGGGGUUUCUGAGCACAUCUCUAACCUCUGCGAUAUAUGAGCACAACAAAAUAUGGAUCUUAUAUAGACGAAAACAGACGAAAACGAUCGAGAAGACAAGUACGAUGACGAACAAAGCAGUAAAGAACAGAGGAUAUAAGAAAUUUAUGUAGUUCGGCCAAUAGUGUGUCGACUUACAUCC
Molecule: long non-coding RNA, 215 nt
Filed under: Ananas comosus (pineapple)
Lineage: Eukaryota; Viridiplantae; Streptophyta; Magnoliopsida; Poales; Bromeliaceae
Description: long non-coding RNA (ACOM_LNC030828)
Source: RNAcentral